Pelobates cultripes (western spadefoot toad) is the source of this 1078-nucleotide non-coding RNA. Lineage: Eukaryota; Metazoa; Chordata; Amphibia; Anura; Pelobatidae. The record is from the annotation of a GenBank genome assembly.
GGAAUGGCUAAUGUUUAUUACAAGGAGGGAGCUGGUAGCGCUGCCGGCUCCCUCCUUGUAUUUUUUUUGCACAUGCGCAGUGCUAUUUUCGUUGAAAUUUUUAUUUAGUAGACAUGUGCAAUUCAUUUUGGUCUGAAUUUAAAUUCUGCCAAAUUUCAGUAAUUCGGCUGACUUUCGGAAGUGCCGAAGUGCUUUGGAUUUCUGAAAAGUGACAAAACAGGAGAGGGAGGGAAUGAUGACAGAAAUCUAACCCUAAACCUACCCUAACCCUACUUCUACCCCUAGCCCUAACCCUUGCCCCAACCUUCCUCUAACCUGAACCCUAACUCUUACCCCAACCUUCCCCUAACCUUAGGUAAUUGCCGAUGUCCCGAACUUAGGAAAUACCGAACAAAAUUUUUUGCCCAUGCACAUCCUUAUUAUUUAGUACGAAAUCAUUCGUACAAAACGAAAAUAUUUCACUGGUGCAUAUGUCUAAAAUCUAUCGACUCAAGAAGGUGUAUAAGUUAAUAGACUUGGUCAGAAAUACUCUAAAGAUUCCGGAAGAGAAAACUGAAACAUCUGCAUCUGACAUAUAAUUUGAGGACCUAUGAGCUUCAAAUUCUACUUUUCCUAUCCAUACUACUAUUAAAGAUCGUAUCCAUCCAGAACAAAUAUUGUCCAUUCAAUCUAAGGCAGCAAAAAUAUACACCUUUUGUCCAAAGGAGUCUAAACUUUGGAGUAUUGUUCCUAAGGUAGAUACUUCAGUCAAGGCUUGCAAAAGAGACUAUAAUCCAUAAUAAAAGCAUGGCAUAUCCGAAUUUUAUAUUUCUCUUGUCAUCCAGAGAAAGUAGUUUGUAUUGUACUUUAUAUUAUACUUAAAUGUUUAUAUUAUACUUUAAUGUUUCACAGACAGACAAACGCUGUUAUAUUAUUUCACUGGAAUAGGAAUUACAUGCGUCUUUUACCUUUGGAAUUUUUGGUUCGCUACAAUGAAUAAGUGUUAGUAGACAACUGCUGCAGCAAUCAGAGUCCCCAAACAAUGUUUAAAAUGCUACAUUGAUGUACUGUAUUUCACUGCAUUUAUAUAAAUGUGUUG